RNAcentral lists this ribosomal RNA (490 nucleotides) under uncultured soil bacterium. Its description in RNAcentral is "bacterial SSU rRNA". It matches the Rfam family "Bacterial small subunit ribosomal RNA", at positions 26 to 513 of the family's 1533-position model. The record is from RNAcentral.
AGAUUGAACGCUGGCGGCAUGCCUUACACAUGCAAGUCGAACGGUAACGCGGGGCAACCUGGCGACGAGUGGCGAACGGGUGAGUAAUGCAUCGGAACGUGCCCAGUAGUGGGGGAUAGCUCGGCGAAAGCCGGAUUAAUACCGCAUACGACCUAAGGGUGAAAGCGGGGGACCGUAAGGCCUCGCGCUAUUGGAGCGGCCGAUGUCAGAUUAGGUUGUUGGUGGGGUAAAAAGCCUACCAAGCCGACGAUCUGUAGCUGGUCUGAGAGGACGACCAGCUACACUGGGACUGAGACACGGCCCAGACUCCUACGGGAGGCAGCAGUGGGGAAUUUGGACAAUGGGGGCAACCCUGAUCCAGCCAUGCCGCGUGCGGGAAGAAGGCCUUCGGUUGUAAACCGCUUUUGUCUAGGGAAGAAACGCUCUGGUUAAGUACCUCGGGUAAUGACGGUACCUGAAGAAUAAGCACCGGCUAACUACGUGACCAGCA